AGAGUUUGAUCCUGGCUCAGAUUGAACGCUGGCGGCAGGCUUAACACAUGCAAGUCGAGCGGAAACGAUGAUAGCUUGCUAUCAGGCGUCGAGCGGCGGACGGGUGAGUAAUACUUAGGAAUCUACCUAGUAGUGGGGGAUAGCACGGGGAAACUCGUAUUAAUACCGCAUACGUCCUACGGGAGAAAGGGGGCAACUUGUUGCUCUCGCUAUUAGAUGAGCCUAAGUCGGAUUAGCUAGAUGGUGGGGUAAAGGCCUACCAUGGCGACGAUCUGUAGCUGGUCUGAGAGGAUGAUCAGCCACACCGGGACUGAGACACGGCCCGGACUCCUACGGGAGGCAGCAGUGGGGAAUAUUGGACAAUGGGGGAAACCCUGAUCCAGCCAUGCCGCGUGUGUGAAGAAGGCCUUUUGGUUGUAAAGCACUUUAAGCAGUGAAGAAGACUCUUCGGUUAAUACCCGGAGACGAUGACAUUAGCUGCAGAAUAAGCACCGGCUAACUCUGUGCCAGCAGCCGCGGUAAUACAGAGGGUGCAAGCGUUAAUCGGAAUUACUGGGCGUAAAGCGAGCGUAGGUGGCUUGAUAAGUCAGAUGUGAAAUCCCCGGGCUUAACCUGGGAACUGCAUCUGAAACUGUUAGGCUAGAGUAGGUGAGAGGGAAGUAGAAUUUCAGGUGUAGCGGCGAAAUGCGUAGAGAUCUGAAGGAAUACCGAUGGCGAAGGCAGCUUCCUGGCAUCAUACUGACACUGAGGCUCGAAAGCGUGGGUAGCA
RNAcentral lists this ribosomal RNA (769 nucleotides) under uncultured bacterium. RNAcentral's name for it is "bacterial SSU rRNA". It matches the Rfam family "Bacterial small subunit ribosomal RNA", at positions 8 to 770 of the family's 1533-position model. The record is from RNAcentral.